This 156-nucleotide microRNA precursor is filed under the name Corchorus capsularis. RNAcentral's name for it is "MIR396 microRNA precursor family". It matches the Rfam family "MIR396 microRNA precursor family". The record is from Rfam by way of RNAcentral. Lineage: Eukaryota; Viridiplantae; Streptophyta; Magnoliopsida; Malvales; Malvaceae.
UGCCAUGCUUUUCCACAGCUUUCUUGAACUUCUCUCCACUUUUUUUUCUUCAUAAUUUUGCCUGCUGCAGCUUGCUUUGCUUUGGUGCAGGAGAGCAGCAAUAGCUUGAAAAUAUUGCAUAUAGAAGUUCAAGAAAGCUGUGGGAUAAUAUGGCAA